CACUGAUGAGAUCACAGGUCUAGUUGUUCAAAACUGUGUUUACUCAUGUGUAUACAUGUUUUCCCUUCAUAGAAUGAAGGCUCCUUGAGGAACUUUGUUUCAUUCUUUGUAUCAUCCUGUGCUUAGCAAAGUGCCUAGAAGGUAGAUCUAUAAUGCUUCUUGAAAGUCACUGAACUGCCAGGCCUAGAGAUGGGAGGUCCUGGGUUCAAAUGUGGCCUCAGACACUUCCCAGCUGUGUGACCCUGGGCAAGUCACUUAACCCCCAUUGUCUAGCCCUUACUGCUCUUCUGCCUUAGUGCCAAUACACAGUAGUGAUUCUAAGAUCUAGUAAGGGUUUAAAAACAAAAGAAAUUCAUUGAACCAAACAAAUGUGUUCACUGAACUGAAUUAUCUCUCUUCCAUUAUAGCUCAAAACUCUCAAUUCUGUCAAAUACAAUUUCAAUAGGGUUGGCCAAACCCUUUAAAAUGUAAAUAUCCCUAACAGAUUGAUACAUUAAAGGGAAUGGUGUGCAGAAUUCCUAUCCCUGUGCAAAGAUCUGGAGGAUAGAGAGUCUGGAAAGGAAACUGAUAGAACCAGCCUAGUUUGGCCUCCCUGGCUUUUCCCUCAAGGCCACCUCAGGUUUCCAGGGGAGUGGGUCCACUAGACCGAAUCUGGGGUUUACUUUCCCAAGAACCUGGAAAAGAUGGAGACUUUGUAGAUGUUUCUAGGCCCAGGCAUGGGGGAAAACCACCCUCCCUUGUUCCUUCCUCCCAUCCACCCAAACACACACACCCAAUACCCCAGUUGCCCUGACAGCAGUUUACAUUGUGAGGUGGCUCUGGGUAUAGGUUAAGAUGUCCUGGGUUUUUUUAUGGAGGAAGGGACAGUGUGGUGGAAAAAGCGUGCUUAUCAUUGGGAAGCUCGGAGAAGACAGAUGGCUCUAGACAGGAGAAGACACUAUCAACUUCAACAGGAACUGAAGAAUAAAGCGAUUGACAGUGAUCUGGAAGAACAAAGAUAUUGCAUGGGACUUGAACCCUAUCAGAGAUAUCACUCUCCAAGCCCGGAAGCCCGUUACCCAUAUGGCAACCUGAGCCCUGAGCCCUCUCACCGGAACUCUGGCCUGUACGCCCCCGACGAUACUCCGGAAGACCUGCGGGGCAACUACAUCUUUCCUGAACACCGGGGGGUAAGCCUACGACCAGGAUGACGAGGAAGAUCAGGAGCAGGGCCAGAGCAAGCGGGAGAGGGGUCGGGACCGGGGCCGGGAGGACCGAGACCUAUGCAAGAGCCAUCGACCCAGCAAGAGCCAGGUCCGGAAUCGGGAACAGGGCCAUUAUCAAAAUGGGAAAGGUAGUCACCACCACAAAUCUCACCUCGGAGGUCAUCACAGUCACCAACAAGCGGCCACUCCACGUCCCCAAGAAUACAAACACAGUAAGUACAGUUGGUCCCUAGAGCUGGGGGGUAGGUCGAGAGAGGCUGAGCAGGGGUGGCCCCCCCAGGGAGGCAGGAUGGGGCCUCCCAGCUCCCUUUCCUCUGGAAACAGGCCGGCUUAAGAGAAAAACUGUGGGUGGCCCCCCUUGCCUACAUUCACACCUCAAGAUUUCUCAAACACCGCUAUGCAGGCAGGGAGUUGGAGGUCAGCA
Long non-coding RNA from Monodelphis domestica (gray short-tailed opossum), 1629 nucleotides. The record is from Ensembl. Lineage: Eukaryota; Metazoa; Chordata; Mammalia; Didelphimorphia; Didelphidae.